RNAcentral lists this ribosomal RNA (372 nucleotides) under uncultured organism. RNAcentral describes it as "bacterial SSU rRNA". It matches the Rfam family "Bacterial small subunit ribosomal RNA", at positions 526 to 896 of the family's 1533-position model. The record is from RNAcentral.
CGGGGGGGGCAAGCGUUGUUCGGAAUUACUGGGCGUAAAGGGCUCGUAGGCGGCCAACUAAGUCCGACGUGAAAUCCCCAGGCUUAACCUGGGAACUGCGUCGGAUACUGGAUGGCUUGAAUUCGGGAGAGGGAUGCAGAGUUCCAGGUGUAGCGGUGAAAUGCGUAGAUAUCUGGAGGAAUACCGGUGGCGAAGGCGGCAUCCUGGACCGACAUUGACGCUGAUGAGCGAAAGCUAGGGGAGCAAACGGGAUUAGAUACCCCGGUAGUCCUAGCCCUAAACGAUGAAUGCUUGGUGUGGCGGGUAUCGAUCCCUGCCGUGCCGAAGCUAACGCAUUAAGCAUUCCGCCUGGGGAGUACGGUCGCAAGGCUG